AGGACGAACGCUGGCGGCGUGCUUAACACAUGCAAGUCGAACGGACUCGGUCGGUGGUAACACCGGCGAAAGUUAGUGGCGAACGGGUGCGUAACACGUGAGCAACCUACCCUAGAGACUGGGAUAACACCGGGAAACCGGUGCUAAUACCGGAUACCCCCAUCCCAUCGCAUGGUGGAAUGAGGAAAUGUUUUUCGCUCUUGGAGGGGCUCGCGGCCUAUCAGCUUGUUGGUGAGGUAAUGGCUCACCAAGGCUUCGACGGGUAGCUGGUCUGAGAGGACGACCAGCCACACUGGGACUGAGACACGGCCCAGACUCCUACGGGAGGCAGC
RNAcentral lists this ribosomal RNA (332 nucleotides) under uncultured prokaryote. RNAcentral describes it as "bacterial SSU rRNA". It matches the Rfam family "Bacterial small subunit ribosomal RNA", at positions 26 to 352 of the family's 1533-position model. The record is from RNAcentral.